CGGGUGGUAAUGCCGGAUGUUCCAGUUGAUCGCAUGGUCUUCUGGGAAAGCUUUCGCGGUAUGGGAUGGGGUCGCGUCCUAUCAGCUUGACGGCGGGGUAACGGCCCACCGUGGCUUCGACGGGUAGCCGGCCUGAGAGGGCGACCGGCCACAUUGGGACUGAGAUACGGCCCAGACUCCUACGGGAGGCAGCAGUGGGGAAUAUUGCACAAUGGGCGCAAGCCUGAUGCAGCGACGCCGCGUGAGGGAUGGAGGCCUUCGGGUUGUAAACCUCUUUUAUCGGGGAGCAAGCGUGAGUGAGUUUACCCGUUGAAUAAGCACCGGCUAACUACGUGCCAGCAGCCGCGGUAAUACGUAGGGUGCAAGCGUUAUCCGGAAUUAUUGGGCGUAAAGGGCUCGUAGGCGGUUCGUCGCGUCCGGUGUGAAAGUCCAUCGCUUAACGGUGGAUCCGCGCCGGGUACGGGCGGGCUUGAGUGCGGUAGGGGAGACUGGAAUUCCCGGUGUAACGGUGGAAUGUGUAGAUAUC
This 526-nucleotide ribosomal RNA is filed under the name Bifidobacterium longum subsp. infantis. RNAcentral's name for it is "bacterial SSU rRNA". It matches the Rfam family "Bacterial small subunit ribosomal RNA", at positions 157 to 698 of the family's 1533-position model. Lineage: Bacteria; Bacillati; Actinomycetota; Actinomycetes; Bifidobacteriales; Bifidobacteriaceae. The record is from RNAcentral.